GUUCUUUUAGUAUUAACUAGUACAACUGACUUCCAAUCAGUUAGUCCUGGAGAACUCCGGGAAAGAAUA
RNAcentral lists this transfer RNA (69 nucleotides) under Myotis macrodactylus. RNAcentral's name for it is "tRNA-Gly". Lineage: Eukaryota; Metazoa; Chordata; Mammalia; Chiroptera; Vespertilionidae. The record is from RNAcentral.